UACGAACUGUGCAAACGUUAUUCGGAAUCACUGGGCUUAAAGGGUGCGUAGGCGGCGCGGUAAGUCGGGUGUGAAAUCUCGGAGCUUAACUCCGAAACUGCAUUCGAUACUGCCGUGCUUGAGGACUGGAGAGGAGACUGGAAUUUACGGUGUAGCGGUGAAAUGCGUAGAUAUCGUAAGGAAGACCAGUGGCGAAGGCAGGUCUCUGGGCUGACACUGACGCUCAUGCACGAAAGCGUGGGGAGCAAACAGG
This 253-nucleotide ribosomal RNA is filed under the name uncultured bacterium. Its description in RNAcentral is "partial 16S ribosomal RNA". It matches the Rfam family "Bacterial small subunit ribosomal RNA", at positions 524 to 776 of the family's 1533-position model. The record is from RNAcentral.